Ictalurus punctatus (channel catfish) is the source of this 895-nucleotide long non-coding RNA. The record is from Ensembl. Lineage: Eukaryota; Metazoa; Chordata; Actinopteri; Siluriformes; Ictaluridae.
CAAAAAAUACAUGAAGCAAGUCUGGUACUGAAAAACAAACAGAAAUCAGAAAGUUCUCUGUACUGAAGUCUUUCCUUUGGAGUGCCGUGGGGAAGCCUGGAACCUAUCCCAGGGAACUCGGGGCAAAAGGCAGAGGACACCCUGGACAGGGUGCCAACCCAUCGCAGGACACGAUCACACACACAAUCAUUCACACACUAUGGACAAUUUGAAAAUGCCUACAUGUCUUUGAAAUGGUGGAGGAAACCGGAGUACCCAGAGGAAUCCCCCAGGGCCCGGGGAGAACAGGGUGCAUACAGGGUGGAGGAAGGAAUUUAACCACCAUCCCUGGAGGUGUGAGGCAAACAUGCUAAUCACUAAGCCACCAUGCCCAUUAAUAUAGAAUCAAUAACACUUUAGAAAGUGUGCUUUAAUAUAUUCCUCUGAUUUACCUCACAGCUGGAACUACUGUCAGAGCUGCUUUUAUAGAAAAUUCAUCAAAAUCUGACCAAUCAGAUUUAAGAAUUCAAAAGUGUUGUAAUAUCACACUUAACAUCAUGAUGGCUUCUUUGGUUCCCUUCUCUCUUUUUUUUUUUUUUUUUUUGCAUGUUUACCCUAUCUGAAAGGAAAAAAAUCACAGUUACAAUGAUUGGCAAUAACAAAGAGAAAUGGUAGAAAUGGAGAAAAAUGCAGAUUUUUUUUCAACAAUAUUCUACAGUUUUCAAAGCUAGCAUGUCAAUGCCUCUGUCAGUCAUUUCCUAAAAAAGCUCACUCAGCCCUGCCCCAAUAGCUCGCAUCUGUCAAUCACAGAUUUGAUGGACUGUCUGUGUAUUCACAGUGCUGCGAUAUCUGAAUUUCAAAUGACCAGCAAGUUUCACACGAUUAAAAUUACACUAUAUCACUACAUAGAUCCAGG